This 901-nucleotide ribosomal RNA is filed under the name uncultured bacterium. Its description in RNAcentral is "bacterial SSU rRNA". It matches the Rfam family "Bacterial small subunit ribosomal RNA", at positions 8 to 905 of the family's 1533-position model. The record is from RNAcentral.
AGAGUUUGAUCCUGGCUCAGAUUGAACGCUGGCGGUAUGCUUAACACAUGCAAGUCGAACGGUAACAGGCCUUCGGGCGCUGACGAGUGGCGGACGGGUGCGUAACGCGUAGGAAUCUGCCUGUUAGUGGGGGACAACUUGGGGAAACUCAAGCUAAUACCGCAUACGCCCUACGGGGGAAAGCGGGGGACCUUCGGGCCUCGCGCUAACAGAUGAGCCUGCGUUGGAUUAGCUAGUUGGUAGGGUAAAGGCCUACCAAGGCGACGAUCCAUAGCUGGUCUGAGAGGACGAUCAGCCACACUGGGACUGAGACACGGCCCAGACUCCUACGGGAGGCAGCAGUGGGGAAUAUUGGACAAUGGGCGCAAGCCUGAUCCAGCAAUACCACGUGUGUGAAGAAGGCCUGAGGGUUGUAAAGCACUUUUAAUAGGGAGGAAAACCUAUCGGCCAAUACCCGAUAGCUUGACAUUACCUAUAGAAAAAGCACCGGCUAACUCCGUGCCAGCAGCCGCGGUAAUACGGAGGGUGCGAGCGUUAAUCGGAAUUACUGGGCGUAAGGCGUGCGUAGGCGGUUGCUUAAGUCAGAUGUGAAAGCCCCGGGCUUAACCUGGGAACUGCAUUUGAUACUGGGUGACUAGAGUUGAGUAGAGGAGAGUGGAAUUUCAGGUGUAGCGGUGAAAUGCGUAGAGAUCUGAAGGAACACCAGUGGCGAAGGCGACUCUCUGGACUCAAACUGACGCUGAGGUACGAAAGCGUGGGUAGCAAACAGGAUUAGAUACCCUGGUAGUCCACGCCGUAAACGAUGUCAACUAGCCGUUGGUUCUAUUUAAUAGGAUUAGUGGCGCAGCUAACGCAUUAAGUUGACCGCCUGGGGAGUACGGCCGCAAGGUUAAAACUCAAA